UUAAGCGACUAAGCGUACACGGUGGAUGCCCUGGCAGUCAGAGGCGAUGAAGGACGUGCUAAUCUGCGAUAAGCGUCGGUAAGGUGAUAUGAACCGUUAUAACCGGCGAUUUCCGAAUGGGGAAACCCAGUGUGAUUCGUCACACUAUCAUUAACUGAAUCCAUAGGUUAAUGAGGCGAACCGGGGGAACUGAAACAUCUAAGUACCCCGAGGAAAAGAAAUCAACCGAGAUUCCCCCAGUAGCGGCGAGCGAACGGGGAGCAGCCCAGAGCCUGAAUCAGUGUGUGUGUUAGUGGAAGCGUCUGGAAAGGCGCGCGAUACAGGGUGACAGCCCCGUACACAAAAAUGCACAUGCUGUGAGCUCGAUGAGUAGGGCGGGACACGUGGUAUCCUGUCUGAAUAUGGGGGGACCAUCCUCCAAGGCUAAAUACUCCUGACUGACCGAUAGUGAACCAGUACCGUGAGGGAAAGGCGAAAAGAACCCCGGCGAGGGGAGUGAAAAAGAACCUGAAACCGUGUACGUACAAGCAGUGGGAGCCUCUUUAUGGGGUGACUGCGUACCUUUUGUAUAAUGGGUCAGCGACUUAUAUUCUGUAGCAAGGUUAACCGAAUAGGGGAGCCGAAGGGAAACCGAGUCUUAACUGGGCGUUAAGUUGCAGGGUAUAGACCCGAAACCCGGUGAUCUAGCCAUGGGCAGGUUGAAGGUUGGGUAACACUAACUGGAGGACCGAACCGACUAAUGUUGAAAAAUUAGCGGAUGACUUGUGGCUGGGGGUGAAAGGCCAAUCAAACCGGGAGAUAGCUGGUUCUCCCCGAAAGCUAUUUAGGUAGCGCCUCGUGAAUUCAUCUCCGGGGGUAGAGCACUGUUUCGGCAAGGGGGUCAUCCCGACUUACCAACCCGAUGCAAACUGCGAAUACCGGAGAAUGUUAUCACGGGAGACACACGGCGGGUGCUAACGUCCGUCGUGAAGAGGGAAACAACCCAGACCGCCAGCUAAGGUCCCAAAGUCAUGGUUAAGUGGGAAACGAUGUGGGAAGGCCCAGACAGCCAGGAUGUUGGCUUAGAAGCAGCCAUCAUUUAAAGAAAGCGUAAUAGCUCACUGGUCGAGUCGGCCUGCGCGGAAGAUGUAACGGGGCUAAACCAUGCACCGAAGCUGCGGCAGCGACGCUUAUGCGUUGUUGGGUAGGGGAGCGUUCUGUAAGCCUGUGAAGGUGUACUGUGAGGUAUGCUGGAGGUAUCAGAAGUGCGAAUGCUGACAUAAGUAACGAUAAAGCGGGUGAAAAGCCCGCUCGCCGGAAGACCAAGGGUUCCUGUCCAACGUUAAUCGGGGCAGGGUGAGUCGACCCCUAAGGCGAGGCCGAAAGGCGUAGUCGAUGGGAAACAGGUUAAUAUUCCUGUACUUGGUGUUACUGCGAAGGGGGGACGGAGAAGGCUAUGUUGGCCGGGCGACGGUUGUCCCGGUUUAAGCGUGUAGGCUGGUUUUCCAGGCAAAUCCGGAAAAUCAAGGCUGAGGCGUGAUGACGAGGCACUACGGUGCUGAAGCAACAAAUGCCCUGCUUCCAGGAAAAGCCUCUAAGCAUCAGGUAACAUCAAAUCGUACCCCAAACCGACACAGGUGGUCAGGUAGAGAAUACCAAGGCGCUUGAGAGAACUCGGGUGAAGGAACUAGGCAAAAUGGUGCCGUAACUUCGGGAGAAGGCACGCUGAUAUGUAGGUGAAGCGACUUGCUCGUGGAGCUGAAAUCAGUCGAAGAUACCAGCUGGCUGCAACUGUUUAUUAAAAACACAGCACUGUGCAAACACGAAAGUGGACGUAUACGGUGUGACGCCUGCCCGGUGCCGGAAGGUUAAUUGAUGGGGUCAGCGCAAGCGAAGCUCUUGAUCGAAGCCCCGGUAAACGGCGGCCGUAACUAUAACGGUCCUAAGGUAGCGAAAUUCCUUGUCGGGUAAGUUCCGACCUGCACGAAUGGCGUAAUGAUGGCCAGGCUGUCUCCACCCGAGACUCAGUGAAAUUGAACUCGCUGUGAAGAUGCAGUGUACCCGCGGCAAGACGGAAAGACCCCGUGAACCUUUACUAUAGCUUGACACUGAACAUUGAGCCUUGAUGUGUAGGAUAGGUGGGAGGCUUUGAAGUGUGGACGCCAGUCUGCAUGGAGCCGACCUUGAAAUACCACCCUUUAAUGUUUGAUGUUCUAACGUUGACCCGUAAUCCGGGUUGCGGACAGUGUCUGGUGGGUAGUUUGACUGGGGCGGUCUCCUCCUAAAGAGUAACGGAGGAGCACGAAGGUUGGCUAAUCCUGGUCGGACAUCAGGAGGUUAGUGCAAUGGCAUAAGCCAGCUUGACUGCGAGCGUGACGGCGCGAGCAGGUGCGAAAGCAGGUCAUAGUGAUCCGGUGGUUCUGAAUGGAAGGGCCAUCGCUCAACGGAUAAAAGGUACUCCGGGGAUAACAGGCUGAUACCGCCCAAGAGUUCAUAUCGACGGCGGUGUUUGGCACCUCGAUGUCGGCUCAUCACAUCCUGGGGCUGAAGUAGGUCCCAAGGGUAUGGCUGUUCGCCAUUUAAAGUGGUACGCGAGCUGGGUUUAGAACGUCGUGAGACAGUUCGGUCCCUAUCUGCCGUGGGCGCUGGAGAACUGAGGGGGGCUGCUCCUAGUACGAGAGGACCGGAGUGGACGCAUCACUGGUGUUCGGGUUGUCAUGCCAAUGGCACUGCCCGGUAGCUAAAUGCGGAAGAGAUAAGUGCUGAAAGCAUCUAAGCACGAAACUUGCCCCGAGAUGAGUUCUCCCUGACUCCUUGAGAGUCCUGAAGGAACGUUGAAGACGACGACGUUGAUAGGCCGGGUGUGUAAGCGCAGCGAUGCGUUGAGCUAACCGGUACUAAUGAACCGUGAGGCUUAACCU
Molecule: ribosomal RNA, 2900 nt
Filed under: Escherichia coli 6-175-07_S4_C1
Lineage: Bacteria; Pseudomonadati; Pseudomonadota; Gammaproteobacteria; Enterobacterales; Enterobacteriaceae
Description: bacterial LSU rRNA
Rfam family: Bacterial large subunit ribosomal RNA
Source: RNAcentral